This 253-nucleotide ribosomal RNA is filed under the name uncultured bacterium. RNAcentral's name for it is "partial 16S ribosomal RNA". It matches the Rfam family "Bacterial small subunit ribosomal RNA", at positions 524 to 776 of the family's 1533-position model. The record is from RNAcentral.
UACAGAGGGUGCGAGCGUUGUCCGGAAUCACUGGGCGUAAAGGGCGCGUAGGCGGCCUGAUAAGUCUGGGGUGAAAUCCUGUGGCUUAACCACAGGGCUGCCUCCGAGACUGUCGGGCUCGAGCACAGUAGAGGCAGGUGGAAUUCCCGGUGUAGCGGUGGAAUGCGUAGAGAUCGGGAAGAACAUCGGUGGCGAAGGCGGCCUGCUGGGCUGUUGCUGACGCUGAGGCGCGACAGCGUGGGGAGCAAACAGG